GUGUGGGGUCUAUUCAACGGACUCCGUGCCGUCGCUAACGCAUUAAGUGCCCCCGCCUGGGGAGUACGGCCGCAAGGCUAAAACUCAAAGGAAUUGACGGGGGCCCGCACAAGCAGCGGAGCAUGUUGCUUAAUUCGAGGCAACGCGAAGAACCUUACCUGGGUUUGACAUGUAGAGAAAAGCCGUAGAGAUACGGUGUCCUUCGGGGUUCUACACAGGUGGUGCAUGGUUGUCGUCAGCUCGUGUCGUGAGAUGUUGGGUUAAGUCCCGCAACGAGCGCAACCCUUGUCCUAUGUUGCCAGCACGUCAUGGUGGGGACUCGUAGGAGACUGCCGGGGUCAACUCGGAGGAAGGUGGGGACGACGUCAAAUCAUCAUGCCCCUUAUAUCCAGGGCUGCAAACAUGCUACAAUGGCCGGUACAAAGGGCUGCUAAACCGCGAGGUGGAGCGAAUCCCAUAAAGCCGGUCUCAGUUCGGAUUGGAGUCUGCAACUCGACUCCAUGAAGCUGGAGUUGCUAGUAAUCCCGGAUCAGCAACGCCGGGGUGAAUACGUUCCCGGGCCUUGUACACACCGCCCGUCACACCACGAAAGUUGGUAACACCCGAAGCCAGUGGCCCAACCCUUUGGGAGGGAGCUGUCGAAGGUGGGAUCAGCGAUUGGGGUGAAGUCGUAACAAGGUAGCCGUAAUCUAGA
RNAcentral lists this ribosomal RNA (694 nucleotides) under uncultured Actinomycetes bacterium. RNAcentral describes it as "bacterial SSU rRNA". It matches the Rfam family "Bacterial small subunit ribosomal RNA", at positions 820 to 1511 of the family's 1533-position model. Lineage: Bacteria; Bacillati; Actinomycetota; Actinomycetes. The record is from RNAcentral.